Molecule: non-coding RNA, 265 nt
Organism: Pelobates cultripes (western spadefoot toad)
Lineage: Eukaryota; Metazoa; Chordata; Amphibia; Anura; Pelobatidae
Source: the annotation of a GenBank genome assembly
CUAGAAAGUGCACAAUUUUAUGUAAACAAGCUAAAUUCACAUUGAUUAGUUAUAAAGCGCCAAAAAGAAAUCCACAGGCCUGGACAAUGGUAUCAGAUAGUAUAGUUGCUUAUAGUAUCCUACAUGAGUUAACAUAUAGUAGAGCAAUCACAUGAAAAGCAGGGAUAGUAGGCAUAACAUGCAGGUAAGUACCACUGGAAGUUUUAGUCUAAGAAGCAAACCGUAAGACACAAGGCCAUGGAGCUCCAAGAAGCACCUAGCACAG